Molecule: ribosomal RNA, 431 nt
Filed under: uncultured bacterium
Lineage: Bacteria
Description: bacterial SSU rRNA
Rfam family: Bacterial small subunit ribosomal RNA
Source: RNAcentral
AACGAACGCUGGCGGCAGGCUUAACACAUGCAAGUCGAACGCCCCGCAAGGGGAGUGGCGGACGGGUGAGUAACGCGUGGGAACGUGCCUCGAGGUUCGGAAUAACCGAGGGAAACUUCGGCUAAUACCGGAUGAGCCCGAAAGGGGAAAGAUUCAUCGCCUUGAGAGCGGCCCGCGUUGGAUUAGCUAGUUGGUGGGGUAACGGCCACCAAGGCUUCGAUCCAUAGCUGGUCUGAGAGGACGACCAGCCACACUGGGACUGAGACACGGCCCAGACUCCUACGGGAGGCAGCAGUGGGGAAUCUUGGACAAUGGGGGCAACCCUGAUCCAGCCAUGCCGCGUGGGUGAUGAAGGUCUUCGAUUGUAAAACCCUUUUGGCGGGACGAUAAUGACGGUACCCGCAGAAGAAGCUCCGGCUAACUUCGUGCCA